UUUGAGAGAACUCUGCUGAAGGAACUAGGCAAAAUGGUACCGUAACUUCGGGAGAAGGUACGCUGUUGUUGGUGAUGGAACUCGCUUCCUGAGCUGACGACAGCCGCAGAAACCAGGCCGCUGCAACUGUUUAUUAAAAACAUAGCACUCUGCAAACACGAAAGUGGACGUAUAGGGUGUGAUGCCUGCCCGGUGCUGGAAGGUUAAUUGAUGGGGUUAGCGUAAGCGAAGCUCUUGAUCGAAGCCCCAGUAAACGGCGGCCGUAACGAUAACGGUCCUAAGGUAGCGAAAUUCCUUGUCGGGUAAGUUCCGACCUGCACGAAUGGCAUAAUGAUGGCGGCGCUGUCUCCAGCAGAGGCUCAGUGAAAUCGAAAUCGCUGUGAAGAUGCAGUGUACCCGCGGCUAGACGGAAAGACCCCGUGAACCUUUACUGCAGCUUGACACUGAACUUUGAUCUUACUUGUGUAGGAUAGGUGGGAGGCUUUGAAGCUGGAACGCUAGUUCCAGUGGAGCCGUCCUUGAAAUACCACCCUGGUAAUGUUGAGGUUCUAACUCUGUCCCGUGAUCCGGGACGAGGACCGUGUCUGGUGGGUAGUUUGACUGGGGCGGUCUCCUCCUAAAGAGUAACGGAGGAGUACGAAGGUGCGCUCAGCGUGGUCGGAAAUCACGCGUAGAGUAUAAAGGCAAAAGCGCGCUUAACUGCGAGACCCACAAGUCGAGCAGGUACGAAAGUAGGUCUUAGUGAUCCGGUGGUUCUGUAUGGAAGGGCCAUCGCUCAACGGAUAAAAGGUACUCUGGGGAUAACAGGCUGAUACCGCCCAAGAGUUCAUAUCGACGGCGGUGUUUGGCACCUCGAUGUCGGCUCAUCUCAUCCUGGGGCUGAAGCAGGUCCCAAGGGUAUGGCUGUUCGCCAUUUAAAGAGGUACGCGAGCUGGUUUAGAACGUCGUGAGACAGUUCGGUCCCUAUCUACCGUGGGCGCUGGAAAUUUGAGAGGAUCUGCUCCUAGUACGAGAGGACCAGAGUGGACGAACCUCUGGUGUACCGGUUGUGACGCCAGUCGCAUCGCCGGGUAGCUAUGUUCGGAAGGGAUAACCGCUGAAAGCAUCUAAGCGGGAAGCCUACCUCAAGAUAAGAUUUCCCUAGGACUUUAUGUCCUCUAAAGAGCCGUUCGAGACUAGGACGUUGAUAGGUUGGAUGUGGAAGCAUAGUGAUAUGUGAAGCUGACCAAUACUAAUUGCUCGUGAGGCUUGACU
Molecule: ribosomal RNA, 1254 nt
Filed under: metagenome
Description: bacterial LSU rRNA
Rfam family: Bacterial large subunit ribosomal RNA
Source: RNAcentral